GAUGAAGAACGUAGCGAAAUGCGAUACUUGGUGUGAAUUGCAGAAUCCCGUGAACCAUCGAGUUUUUGAACGCAAGUUGCGCCCGAAGCCGUUAGGCCGAGGGCACGCCUGCCUGGGUGUCACACAUCGUUGCCCCAAUGCCAAUCGCCUCACUUUGUAGGUAUUUGCUUGGGGUGAAUGUUGGCCUCCCGUGAGCUUUGUCUCACGGUUGGUUGAAAAUCGAGUCCUUGGUAGGGUGUGCCAUGAUAGAUGGUGGUAGAGUUUGCACGAGACCGAUCAUGUGUGCGCUCCCCAAAAUAUGGACUCUUUGACCCCACACGCGUCUUUUGAUGCUCAUGACGAGACCUCAGGUCAGGCGGGGCUACCCGCUGAGUUUAAGCAUAUCAAUAAGCGGAGGA
This 398-nucleotide unclassified non-coding RNA is filed under the name soil metagenome. RNAcentral describes it as "partial contains 5.8S ribosomal RNA, internal transcribed spacer 2, and large subunit ribosomal RNA". The stretch from base 1 to 122 matches the Rfam family "5.8S ribosomal RNA", at positions 35 to 154 of the family's 154-position model. The record is from RNAcentral.